UUCAACAUACUCAAGACCAAGCUCACCAAGAGCGGAUUUCUCCUUCUGUUCGUUCUCCCCUCUCUCACCCCUCUUCUCCCCCCUCCAAUUUCUUUCCUUCUUCCUCUCCUUUGAAUAAAG
This 120-nucleotide non-coding RNA is filed under the name Paramoeba aestuarina. The record is from RNAcentral. Lineage: Eukaryota; Discosea; Flabellinia; Dactylopodida; Paramoebidae.